Chlorocebus sabaeus (green monkey) is the source of this 1315-nucleotide non-coding RNA. Lineage: Eukaryota; Metazoa; Chordata; Mammalia; Primates; Cercopithecidae. The record is from RefSeq and is a predicted model, not a curated record.
UCUGAAUUUUAUUGACUCAUUUAGGUCUUAGCCCUUUUUAUUACAAAUUAUUUAUUGUUUACUCACUACAGCCUGUUUUAUUUUUUCUGAAUUUUAUUAAAGGAUGAUAUUGAUGAUGAAAUGUCUUAUGAUGAACAUUUAGAGGUUUAUUUUGAACAACUGGCAAUUCCAGGAAUGAUGGAAUAAAACAUAUGAAGUAGAAGGACUGGAACCUCCAUAAAAAAAUACUUUAAGUUACCUACAAGUGAUCCUAGUCAGGUAUGAAUUGAUAAGAAAUACCUGCACCUUUCCUCCUUCCUAUCUUUCCCUUGCCUACAGAAAAUUAAAAAGUAAAACAAUGGACAUCUACAUAUUCUUCAUUCAGAUUAACAUGUUGCUAGCAUUUGCCACCUCUGCAUUUUCUUUCUCUUUCUGCAAAUGAAAACAGUAAAGUGGCAGUUUCACCCAGAAAAUAACAGCGCUGGUUGCUCAUGGCUCACACUCUUCUGAAACGACUCAGGAAGAGCCUGAGGAAGGCCAUGUUGUUUGUCUACCUGGGACUACACCUACUGAAGGAAGUUCUCAAGUUCUGAUUGAGUUCUAAAAGUUUUUUGAAGAUUGGAAUUCUUCAUAUCCCCUUUUAUGUAAUUAGGUAAAAAGAGAAAAAUACAUUCUUGAUUUUGGUGACUAGAGUUGUGGACGCCGGAAAGCUCUGCCACUAAGAUUGAUGAACCAGAUGCGUGUCACUGGCCAGUCACACUGAUUCUUAAUGCUGGCACCAUGGCCUGGCACUGUCACGUUUUCCAGGGAACCUGCCCGAGCUCCUGCAGAAGCUGCUCCUCGGGCCGAUGGAGUCCCUUAGCUGGUAGGCCCUUCUUUAGUCACCACAGGAUGCCUGCUGACUGAACAGGAAGGAGAGGAUGGGCUUUGAAUAAAACACAGACUUAAAGUCCAUUUUGUGUGACAAGCAUAGCAGUGGUGAUUCCUUUCCUUUCUGAUCUUCACCGAACCUCGCUUUUUCACACUCACCGAAAUGUCUACUUAAAGCCACGGCACCUCUUUGAAUUUUCACAUCUACCGUAUGGUGAUGGUAGAUUUCCUUUUCAUCUGUACUCUGAAGGAAUCCGAAACAGGCAUUUUUACAAGUCUAGGAAGGAAACAAAAAUCUAUGUGUCAAAAGAAUGAACAUAGAAAAUAACAUGUCCUGGUUAACAAAAGUUCUCAUUGUAAAGUGUUAUGCACAAGAUAUGGAAUUUUAUGUGCCAUAAAUGAAGUUGUCUUGUCUAAAACUACUUUUAAAAAUUACAUGUUACUUUAAUAAAGGUAUUUUUGAGAA